GAUGAACGCUGGCGGCGUGCCUAAUACAUGCAAGUCGAGCGAACGGACGAGAAGCUUGCUUCUCUGAUGUUAGCGGCGGACGGGUGAGUAACACGUGGAUAACCUACCUAUAAGACUGGGAUAACUUCGGGAAACCGUAGCUAAUACCGGAUAAUAUUUUGUACCGCAUGGUUCAAAAGUGAAAGACGGUCUUGCUGUCACUUAUAGAUAGAUCCGCGCUGCAUUAGCUAGUUGGUAAGGUAACGGCUUACCAAGGCAACGAUGCAUAGCCGACCUGAGAGGGUGAUCGGCCACACUGGAACUGAGACACGGUCCAGACUCCUACGGGAGGCAGCAGUAGGGAAUCUUGCGCAAUGGGCGAAAGCCUGACGGAGCAACGCCGCGUGAGUGAUGAAGGUCUUCGGAUCGUAAAGCUCUGUUAUUAGGGAAGAACAGAUGUGGAAGUAACUGUGCACAUCUUGACGGUACCUAAUCAGAAAGCCACGGCUAACUACGUG
This 497-nucleotide ribosomal RNA is filed under the name uncultured bacterium. RNAcentral's name for it is "partial 16S ribosomal RNA". It matches the Rfam family "Bacterial small subunit ribosomal RNA", at positions 28 to 507 of the family's 1533-position model. The record is from RNAcentral.